Molecule: long non-coding RNA, 932 nt
Filed under: Phoenix dactylifera (date palm)
Lineage: Eukaryota; Viridiplantae; Streptophyta; Magnoliopsida; Arecales; Arecaceae
Description: long non-coding RNA (PDAC_LNC013782)
Source: RNAcentral
AUAAAACUCACACCACUUCUCUCUUUUUUUUCUUUCAGAGUCACGAAAUGCAUAGUAUCAAUUGAACCAGAUGUAGAGUUUGUGUGAUAGAGUCAUUAGAUAAUUAGUUUAUUUCUGAUACCAAAAAAUAUUUAAAAAUUUUGUAAUUGAACAAGUUUGAUUAUUUGAUUAUAAUGGAUUCAUUUAGUUGAAUAAUUCGGGAUGGUUUGGAGAUAAAGUUACUAUGUCUUGAAAAAAUCCAUAUUAAUAAUAAUGGGUCAAAUAUGAUCACUAAAAUCUUGCUCAUGAAAAAAAUUAUUGCUUGUAGAGAAAAAGCAGGCUUGGUGGAACCCCCACAUGAGUCGGGAGAGAGAAAUUUGUUGGCAUGGUUGGGACCUACCUUAUUUAAAUUUUAAGAUAAAAAAAGAGGAUAAGAAGGAAGCCACUGGGUGAGGGAAUUGCAAUGAAACCGAAAAUGGAUUUAGCUGAAAUUUCAGUAUAUUUUUUUCGAUAUUGAGAUCUACAGAUUGAAUUGUUUGGAUCCUUGAAAAGUCUUAUCGAUUGAUUUUUUCAAGCAUAAACACUUGGUGAGAUCUAUUCUCUAUUUUGCUAUUUAUUGUUGAAAUUCGCCAUAUUGAUGAUGAAUGUUCUUGUUGUGAAAGCCAAGUUAAAUCUUGUUGAUGUUUGUACAGUGGAAGUUUUUGGCUGGACUAUGUCUCGUAAUUUUUCUCUUCACAUAAAAAGGUUUUCCACAUUAAAAAAAUUGUAUUGCUUAUUUUGCUUGUUAAUUGUAUGAAUAGAUUGUAGAGAUUAUUGUCGCUGGGUGAGUGAUAUUCCAUUUAAUUACACAAAAAGAAAAAAAAGGUUUGCGGCAUCAUUAUUGUUUGUGAUGCAGGACAACUGCAGAAAGGAGAGGAAAGAGAGGAGAAGAGGAGGGGGAAGAAGAGAAGGGG